UAGGGAAGGAAGGCAAUCGCCGCUGCUUUUACAGCAGGGGAGGAAAGUCUGGACUUUGCAAGAGAAGAUACCAGUGAAAGACUGGGGGCCGUAAGGCUACGGAAAGUGUAACAGAAAAUAAACUCUAGAUUAAUUUCUAGAAAGGUGAAAUGCCAGAAAUGGCCAUCAAAUGGAAACAUUUGUUGUGACAAACCCUAUCUAAAGCAAGAAAGUAAAGCGUUAAAGUUCUCUGCUUAUGCUUUACUUAAGUUCGCUUGAGGAGCUUGGCGACAAGCUCCCUAGAGGAAUGAUUGCCACCUAAUUUUUACGUUAGGGACAGAAUCCGGCUUACUACCUUCCCUUUUUU
Molecule: RNase P RNA, 346 nt
Filed under: Candidatus Rubidus massiliensis
Lineage: Bacteria; Pseudomonadati; Chlamydiota; Chlamydiia; Chlamydiales; Chlamydiaceae
Also listed under: 1 other name
Description: RNaseP_bact_a
Rfam family: Bacterial RNase P class A
About the family: Ribonuclease P (RNase P) is a ubiquitous endoribonuclease, found in archaea, bacteria and eukarya as well as chloroplasts and mitochondria. Its best characterised activity is the generation of mature 5'-ends of tRNAs by cleaving the 5'-leader elements of precursor-tRNAs.
Source: RNAcentral